This 119-nucleotide ribosomal RNA is filed under the name Pteropus alecto (black flying fox). Lineage: Eukaryota; Metazoa; Chordata; Mammalia; Chiroptera; Pteropodidae. The record is from RNAcentral.
GUCUACAGCCAUGCUACCCUGAACAAGCCCGAUCCCGUCUGAUCUCAGAAGCUAAGCAGGGUCGGACCUAGUUAGUACUUGGAUGGGAGACCACCUAGGAAGACCAGGCACUGCAGGUG